RNAcentral lists this unclassified non-coding RNA (1194 nucleotides) under Hevea brasiliensis (rubber tree). The record is from RNAcentral. Lineage: Eukaryota; Viridiplantae; Streptophyta; Magnoliopsida; Malpighiales; Euphorbiaceae.
AUUAAUAAUGAUAGCCUCUUAAAUGAUGGACUCCAUCACUUGCCUUGCUGCCGACAUUCAGUUCUCCUUUUUGUAGAUCCCUGUGGUUCAAAGUGUGUCUCAGAACCGAACACAACAUUACCACUGUUGUUCUUUAUUUUUUAUAAACCUCAUAAUCCUAGCUCCUUGCUUCGAUUGAUAAAUUCCAUCCAUUCAAUUAGACAUGGGUUUGCUUCCACUUCCAAAAUCUUUGCCUUUAAUGGCUCUUUUAUGGGCAAUUUUAUUCACUCUGAUGACUUCUUCCACAACUCCGUUUGCAUCUGGUGAUGAUGAUGAUGGUAAGCUAUCAGCAUAUGAAGUUCUUGCAACAUAUGACUUUCCAAGGGGUCUUCUUCCAGUAGGGGUAGCUGGGUACGAGUUAAACAGAGAAACAGGCGAGUUCUCAGCUUAUUUGAACGGAACUUGUAAAUAUCGUAUCGAAUCAUAUACACUGGAGUACAAGUCUACGAUUACGGGUGUAAUAUCCAAAGGCAGGCUCAGGAAGUUGAAGGGUGUUAGAGUUUACGUUGUUUUGCUGUGGCUAAACAUCGUGGAAGUGAGUCGGGAUGGCGAUGAUCUCGAUUUCUCUGUUGGGAUUGCUUCAGCCAGCUUUCCAGUUGACAACUUUGAGGAGUCUCCGCAGUGUGGGUGUGGGUUUGAUUGCGACAAGUUGAAGGAUGGCCUUGUUUCUUCUUCUUAAUUUGUUAGUUGAGAUUCGUAUUUCUGAUUGUAACGGGCUCGGAUUUGUGAGCUGAGCUUGUAGGAAUUGUAUGCUGCAGCUAUAAUGUGUUCUCCAUCAUAUGAAAUGAAUAUUUUUCAUUUUCUAGCUUCAAUUUCUCCCACCAAAAUUUAGAUUUUUUGUAAAUUGGAAGGUACAUAAUUUGCGCUUUGUGAGGCGAGGGAAAGGGAUAAGACUUAAUGGGAUUCAUUAAGUGGAAAUGAAGCAGGAUCAGAGGGAAAAUUUUUGGUCUUGGGAAUUGAAUUGGGAUCACAAGAGAAAGAAGAAUCCAGCAUUUCUGCUCUGAUUGAUCAUUUUCAUGCCCUCUGAGCAACUGAAUCAGCUGUUGAGGAAAGUAGCCAACAUAGUUAUUGGACCAAGAAGAGAGAACACUAGUAAUCUGCCAAUAGAAACGGUAAAGAUGGUUAGUUUUUGAAAGGGGUGUGACGUUACAUAGA